This is a long non-coding RNA of Macaca mulatta (Rhesus monkey), 1831 nucleotides long. The record is from Ensembl. Lineage: Eukaryota; Metazoa; Chordata; Mammalia; Primates; Cercopithecidae.
UCACCACCGCUUUCCAGCCUAGGCAGGAGUGAAAGACCCUGUCCUUAAAAGCAUUAAUUUUUAAAAAGCAACCAGACGUGGUGGCUCACACCUGUCAUCCCAGCACUUUGGGAGGCCGAGGUGCCGGGGGAACGCCUGAGGUCAGGAGUUCGAGGCCAGCCUGACCAACAGGGUGAAACCCCGUAUCUACAAAAAUUACUUGGGCAUGAUGGCGGGUGCUCGUCAUCCUAGCUACUUGGGAGGCUGAGGCGGGAGAAUCGCUUGAACCCGGGAGGCGGAGGUUGCGGUGAGCCGGCAUCGUGCCACUGCAGUCCAGCCUGGGCGACAGAGCGAGACUCCAUCUGAAAAAAAUAAGUAAAAAUAAAAUAAAAAGCGAGAACGGGGAGGGAAGAGUAGAGAGGAAGAUCCCGGAGCUUCCUUGGGGGGUGAGGAAGGUGGGAGCCACGACGGUUGUAGAGGGAGAGCAGCUCCUCCCUUCACCCACCUGAGCCCGGGUCUCCUGUGUGGCCACAGCCUCUGCAGCCCACAGGGCCCCACGUUGUGAGGUUCACACACCUGCAGCUGCUCAGAAGUGCAAACUCACCCCCUGCAUGACGUGCUCUGGAUAUCAGUCGGCCUUCGCACCGCAGCCCUGGGUGGUUGAUCGAACGCUAAAGCUCCAGACCUGGAGAUGCCCCAGAGGAAGUGCCUGGCAGCAAUUAACCAUCCGAGCACCCCAGGUGGCGUGGACUCACGCGGCUCUUCAGCCAAAUACCUGCUUCUGGAGUUGCCCUGACUGACCGUCUGAAAUUCAUGAUAAAAAAUGGAUGAAGGCCUGGUUUUCACAUUGUGGCCGAUGAAUGCUGUCCCAGUCUUGUUCUCCUGUCCGUUUACCGCGACACAGCCCACAGGCCACAGGGCAUCGGCGUCUUGUGAGGGGUUACAGGGAACGUCUAAGGGAGACACAGGCUGGCCCAGCUGCCUCCCACCCUUCCUGGCCGGGCGUCCUGAGCCAACCGCCUCAGUGGGAGAAAAUCUUCACUCUGAAAACUCUCAGAGCCGCCACCUGCUCCCCGCUCCCGUCUGCCCUGGUUCUCGGGCCCCGGAGCCCGCCCUGUCCAGACCUCCCAGGCCCUGUGGGGAAUCCCGAUAAACGGGGACGGCGUUCACGGCAGGUCCCUCCCCUGCCUCAUGUAUUUCGCCACCUGGAUAAAAUGAGUGUUUUCACAGCUGCCGUUCAUUUUUAGUUUUUGACCCCGAGGAAGGAACGAAGCAGUUCGAGGCACCUGCGGCCGGGUUGGGGCGAGGCAGCGGGAUUUCGGGACGGGGACGGCGGGGAGGUUCCGGGGGAGCCACACCACGUAGGUGGCGGCCGGCUCCAGCCUGGAGGCCGCGACGUUGCUGAAAGAUUUAUCACCUGCUCAGCCUCGGAGACGGGGAAGAAAAACACAGACUGGAAAUGGUUCUGGCUGACGGACGGACCCCCGGGGAACCGUCCCCAACCGUACCCCUUUUCUUUCUCCGUUCGGUGACUGCCCGGGCUGAGCUGGGCCUCGUGGAUGCUUGAUGAGUGUCCACGGAGCCCGGGAUGCUGUGCCGGGUGCCGCGUGGGUGAGGGGGUGACUGUGAGGUUCCCUCGUCUCUAGUGGAGAGAUCGGGGGAGUAGACAAAGAAAAUAGUAUCGAACUGCUGCCUGUGAUGAGGGUUUGCUAGUCUCGCUCUGUCCCCCAGGCUGGAGUGCGGUGGUGCGAUCUCAGCUCACUGCAGCCUCCGCCUCCCGGGUUCAAGUGAUUCUCCUGACUCAGCCUCCCGAGUAGCUGGGACGACACGCACCUGCCACCACGCCCGGCUC